UUGACCUCGAAUCAGGUAGGAAUACCCGCUGAACUUAAGCAUAUCAAUAAGCGGAGGAAAAGAAACCAACCGGGAUUACCUCAGUAACGGCGAGUGAAGCGGUAACAGCUCAAAUUUGAAAUCUGGCUCUUCCGGAGUCCGAGUUGUAAUUUGUAGAAGAUGCUUUGGGUUGUGGGUUCGGCCUAAGUUCCUUGGAACAGGACGUCAUAGAGGGUGAGAAUCCCGUAUGUGGCCGAGGCCCGCGCCUAUGUAAAGCUCUUUCAACGAGUCGAGUUGUUUGGGAAUGCAGCUCAAAAUGGGUGGUAAAUUUCAUCUAAAGCUAAAUAUGGGCCAGAGACCGAUAGCGCACAAGUAGAGUGAUCGAAAGAUGAAAAGCACUUUGGAAAGAGAGUUAAACAGUACGUGAAAUUGUUGAAAGGGAAGCGCUUGCAACCAGACUUGGGCGCUGCCGAUCACCUUGAGUUUUCUCGAGUGCACUCGACAGCGCACAGGCCAGCAUCGGUUCGGGUGGCUGGAUAAAGGCCGUAGGAAUGUGGCUCUCUUCGGGGAGUGUUAUAGCCUACGGUGCCAUGCAGCCCAGCCGGACCGAGGACCGCGCCUUCGGGCUAGGAUGCUGGCGUAAUGGUUGUAAGCGACCCGUCUUGAAACACGGACCAAGGAGUCUAACAUCUAUGCGAGUGUUUGGGUGGUAAACCCAUACGCGGAAUGAAAGUGAACGUAGGUGAGAACCCCUUUGGGGCGCAUCAUCGACCGAUCCUGAUGUCUUCGGAUGGAUUUGAGUAAGAGCAUAGCUGUUGGGAC
RNAcentral lists this ribosomal RNA (801 nucleotides) under Erysiphe quercicola. RNAcentral describes it as "eukaryotic LSU rRNA". It matches the Rfam family "Eukaryotic large subunit ribosomal RNA", at positions 1 to 815 of the family's 3401-position model. Lineage: Eukaryota; Fungi; Ascomycota; Leotiomycetes; Helotiales; Erysiphaceae. The record is from RNAcentral.